AUCCCUUUGUGGUUCAUAAGAGUGAUGACUGAGAUUUCACACUCCUGUGUGAGAUGUACCUCCCUCAAAUCUUAUGACAUGUGCACAUUACCUGACUCACA
Small nucleolar RNA from Callithrix jacchus (white-tufted-ear marmoset), 101 nucleotides. NCBI's taxonomy places the organism in Eukaryota, Metazoa, Chordata, Mammalia, Primates, Cebidae. The record is from Ensembl.